Pelobates cultripes (western spadefoot toad) is the source of this 299-nucleotide non-coding RNA. NCBI's taxonomy places the organism in Eukaryota, Metazoa, Chordata, Amphibia, Anura, Pelobatidae. The record is from the annotation of a GenBank genome assembly.
CCAGUAUUACCUCUGAUUGCGUGUCUCGAUACAAGUUGAGUGAGAUGCGCUUGUUUACACUUGCUAAGGUAAAUGUAAACAUGAUAAAAAAUUAACAGUACAAACAAGGAUAAUUGCAUGUCAAACAUCCAUGAGAGGAACUUGGGACCUAUCCCAAGCUCUCACAGUGUCGCAAACAUGAUGCCCCAGUCCACCCUGUUGAACACCUUCUCAGUGUCAGUCGACAGAAGCAGAACCAUGGAUUCUUCUCCUCACGAUUGAUGUCUAAGGCUUGUCACUGACCUCAGACAGGGAUAAAC